UGUCGAUGGUAGGAUAGAGGCCUACCAUGGUUGCAACGGGUAACGGGGAAUAAGGGUUCGAUUCCGGAGAGGGAGCCUGAGAAACGGCUACCACAUCCAAGGAAGGCAGCAGGCGCGCAAAUUACCCAAUCCCAACACGGGGAGGUAGUGACAAUAUGUAACAAUAUACGGCCUUAUACGUCGUAUAAUUGGAAUGAGUACAAUUUAAAUCCCUUAACGAGGAACAAUUGGAGGGCAAGUCUGGUGCCAGCAGCCGCGGUAAUUCCAGCUCCAAUAGCGUAUAUUAAAGUUGUUGCAGUUAAAAAGCUCGUAGUUAGACCUUGGACCUGGACAGGCGGUCCGCCUCACGGCGAGUACUGUCUUGCUGGGUCUUUCCUCUUGGUGAUCUGUUGUUUCGGCAGCAGGGAACCAGGACUUUUACUUUGAAAAAAUUAGAGUGUUCAAAGCAGGCUCGACGCCGGAAUAUAUUAGCAUGGAAUAAUAAAAUAGGACGUGCGGUUCUAUUU
RNAcentral lists this ribosomal RNA (506 nucleotides) under uncultured eukaryote. RNAcentral's name for it is "SSU rRNA". It matches the Rfam family "Eukaryotic small subunit ribosomal RNA", at positions 320 to 842 of the family's 1831-position model. The record is from RNAcentral.